UAUGGCAAAUAUACUUAUACGUUUCCCCUUUCAUCGGUGUCUGGUGUUAGCUAGUUACAGGUUAGCUAGGUCUUCAUCUGUGCCUGGUGUUAGCUAGUUACAGGUUAGCUAGGUCUUCAUCUGUGUCUGGUGUUAGCUAGCUACAGGUUAGCUAGGUCUUCAUCUGUGUCUGGUGUUAGCUAGUUACUGGCUAGCUAGGUCUUCAUCUGUGUCUGGUGUUAGCUAGUUACUGGCUAGCUAGUUCUUCAUCUGUGUCUGGUGUUAGCUACUGGUUAGCUAGGUCUUCAUCGGUGUCUGGUGUUAGCUAGGUCUUCAUAUGUGUCUGGUGUUAGCUAGGUCUUCAUCUGUGUCUGGUGUUAGCUAGGUCUUCAUCUGUGUCUGGUGUUAGCUAGGUCUUCAUCUGUGUCUGGUGUUAGCUAGGUCUUCAUCUGUGUCUGGUGUUAGCUAGGUCUUCAUCUGUGUCUGGUGUUAGCUAGGUCUUCAUCUGUGUCUGGUGUUAGCUAGGUCUUCAUCUGUGUCUGGUGUUCGUUUACUGGCUAGCUAGGUCUUCAUCCAGCAUGGAACAAUAUGGUGUGGGGGGAGGGGGUUCGUUCAAAACUCUGACCCAGUUGUCAUGCCAACACAUCAGUCAGUGCUGCUGUGAACCGCAUCACAAGAGACAUACCAAACGGGAUAUAUAUAUAUAUAUAUAAAGAGCCUGCCUUUUCAAACUUCCUAGUAGUUAGUCAUGCGAUAAAAAGUACUUAGUCAAAUGUAUCAUUUCUAUCCCCCAAAAAAAUAUUAUGGGU
Long non-coding RNA from Oncorhynchus keta (chum salmon), 788 nucleotides. RefSeq lists it as uncharacterized. Lineage: Eukaryota; Metazoa; Chordata; Actinopteri; Salmoniformes; Salmonidae. The record is from RefSeq and is a predicted model, not a curated record. The transcript is spliced from 3 exons.